ACCCAAAUCUAACCACUUUUCCCAUGGCUUCUCCUCUGUCUACUUCAUUUUGUUUGACCUCAAUAAACUUGGGUAAAAUAUCAGAAAUAGUGAUUAUUUUACGAGGAUAUAUACAAUGAAACAUCAAGAACCAUUUUUCUCAUUUAAUGGCCAGUUAUUACAAUGUAGCUGAUGACAUAUGAAUAUACCAUGACUUGUUUUUGUUGUUGUUUUGCUCACAGGUGCCAUUUCGAGCUUGACUCACAUAACAGUGGUACGCUAACAGCAACGGUCUCGGAAAUGUUGGCUGAAAAACUACUAUCCAUGACCGCCAAAAAAGUAUAUCAAAUUGUUGUUUUCAAGGUGCACACAUAUAUAGCACUACAAUUGAACAAGCUUCUCUCUGUACUAUCUCCUUACAUUACAUAUGAUCCUCAUCAAUCAUUGCCAGUUGCCUAUAUCAACUGCCAGUUUUCUCAUAAGCUUUUUAGACUUUAGCUACAAAAGCCGUUAUUUAAAAAAGCUUGGCACACUGAUUGUCUCAUCCUGCCCUGGAAAGAAGCCGUCAACAUCUGCGCUCCUCAGCGUGGGAACUAAGAAGCAAACAUUCGAACCACUCACUCAUACGAAGAAACAGUAACAAGCAUUUUACAUUUUUAAACUACUUAUUCCAUAAUUUGUUUGUUCUCUUACAAUACCACAUAGGUAGCAGAAAAACAAAAGUUGGGUGCGGCCAAAAUUCAAUCACAUGGUUUGACAUGUAUAGCUGGAUUUUGAUUGCCUAUACCAACGUCUUAUAAUCAGUCGCCUCAAUGAAGUUUCUCCCUUUUUUGUGCAAAUGACAGUUCUGUCUCCAGUGUAGAAUGUGCAGCUGCGAGUUAAUUUGUUGUUGCACUUUUUUCUGAUACUGGUCAGUUUUUUUCCCCAGGAAAGCGGUCUCUGUUCGCGCGCGCUCCGUCAGAGAAUUGCGCGGUGGUGACCGACGGAAAUAAGUUGUGUCACUGCCGCCGAAGGAAGAAAUUACAAACAUGGCGAUACCACUAAGGGCAAUGGGAGAGUUAUUGAAGUAUUGAUUUAAGAACAGGAAGCUCCUAGAAGAAGCUCUUACUCACUCUUCCUGUCCUAAUUCAGCUUCUAAUUACCAGCGACUCACGCUCAUCGGCAAUGCCGCUCUCGACUUAGCUAUUUCCAGCUAUUUCUUCGUGACUUACCCUGAUGUUGACUGUGGUAAGAUAUCUGGCCUCUCCACUGCCGAUGCAAGUACCGAAAAACUUGUUAGAGUUGCUGUCCAGCACGGUCUCUACAAGUGCCUCAGCCGUGAUUCGGCAAUCCUCGGUGAAAAGUGCGUAAUUGCGCAUCUCAUUGGCACUAGAUUGUCAAACUGAUUACAAUAGUUCCUAUGUGGAAUUGUAAUAGAGGAGACUUUGAAUUUGACGUAAGUGAAGGAGUUCGUGAAAACAGUGCAACAGGAGGAGGAGAUUGAGUUCUACGGAGGAACAAUAAAAGAACCAGAGGUUCUUGCAGACAUUGUGGAGUCUAUAAUGGGGGCUGUAUAUUUGGAUUGUGGCUUUGAUGUGAAUGAUGUCUGGGUGGUCAGUUUCUUUUUUACUAUUUAAGUUUGUUCUCGCCAAUGAUAUUAUGAAAACUCUAUUUACCUUAUCCUUUCUGGAUUUAGAGUACCAAUGUAUCAAUCAACUAUGCCUCAAUCCCAAUUAGUUAGGUUGGUUAUACGAAUUCUCUAUAUCUGUUCCUCUGGAUUUCUAUUAUAACUUGAAAAUGUGAUUAUGUGGAAUCAAAGAGUUGAGUCUCGCAGGCCUAUUGGCUUUUAGUAAGUGCUUCUAAUUUACAGCCUCAACGUUAGUGUACAAGGGGUUUUAACUGAUAUUU
Solanum stenotomum is the source of this 1866-nucleotide long non-coding RNA. RefSeq lists it as uncharacterized. The record is from RefSeq and is a predicted model, not a curated record. The transcript has 3 exons. Lineage: Eukaryota; Viridiplantae; Streptophyta; Magnoliopsida; Solanales; Solanaceae.